Molecule: ribosomal RNA, 427 nt
Filed under: uncultured marine bacterium
Lineage: Bacteria
Description: bacterial SSU rRNA
Rfam family: Bacterial small subunit ribosomal RNA
Source: RNAcentral
AAUAUUGGACAAUGGGGGCAACCCUGAUCCAGCAAUGCCGCGUGUGUGAAGAAGGCCUUAGGGUUGUAAAGCACUUUCAAUGGUGAAGAUGAUGACGGUAACCAUAGAAGAAGCCCCGGCUAACUUCGUGCCAGCAGCCGCGGUAAUACGAAGGGGGCGAGCGUUGUUCGGAAUUACUGGGCGUAAAGGGCGCGCAGGCGGCCAAUCCAGUCAGGUGUGAAAGCCCCGGGCUUAACCUGGGAACUGCACUUGAUACUGGUUGGCUAGAAAACGGAAGAGGAGAGUGGAAUUCCCAGUGUAGAGGUGAAAUUCGUAGAUAUUGGGAAGAACACCAGUGGCGAAGGCGGCUCUCUGGUCCGAUUUUGACGCUGAGGCGCGAAAGCGUGGGGAGCGAACAGGAUUAGAUACCCUGGUAGUCCACGCCGUA